CCACUGAAGGAUGUGACAAAGAGCUAAACUGGGAUUGGGAGUGUGGCAGCAGCCACUCAUGCCACAGACAUACAUAUUUCAUAUAUGCAUGAAGGAGCAGAAAUAAGAUUAUUUAAGUUGUCUUAAUGACAGCAUGUCUUUUUUGAAUGUUUGAUUUUGCAGGAUUGCUUGUAAGCUAUGGAAGGAACAGUCAGCUGUGAGUGAUGCACUCACAUGGUAUAACCACUGGGAAACAGAGGGAGACAUGGACUGACAAUGAUCCUGAAAGCUUUCCAGACUGGGUACAGUCUCACACAGCUGUGGUGAUAAACACCAUAUUUCACCAUAAAAGAGUGCCAAGAGACUGCCAGAGGCCAGCAACCUUUGACUGAAGAGAGUUUGUUAAAAGAGCUAAAUGUCAGUGAAAAUGUGCUGUUAAUCCUACUCAUCAACAAAUGUUAACCACAAAGUGAUAAUAAAGAGAAAAAAGAAAAGACCUGGCUCCAAUCAGGAUUAUGCUGGAGCUGACAAUGUCACCCAGGAAGCCGUUGUCAUCCCCUACCAAGAGACAAGAGCCCUGCCUGCAGAAGGAAAUGAGCAAAAGGCUCCGGAUAGACAGCUUGACACAAUGUCACCAGAAAGGUGGUGCUGGCUUGGUGAUAAACAGCACAGAUACUUCUUUUAGAAAAAGUAGAAGAAAGACCCAACCUUCUGAAAGAAAUGUUGCUUCUGGCAUGGCUGCCUCUUGAGCUCACCUCUUGAUGUGGUUCCAACAGCAUUUAAAGAAUAGCCAGACAUUUAAUGAAUUUACAAAAGAGUGAUUAGGACCUUCACAAAACACAAAGAGACCUAAUACCUGUCAACAUCAUCAUUAACCAUACAAAUCGUCACCACCAUCCUUUUUCCCCACUUUUGCAAUGGGAAGCCACCACUGGUAGAAUGUGUCCAACACAUUUCUGCUUUGCAGAAAGCAGGUUACUGCUUCUGGCUAUUUCACAAUGAGGUAGCCAGAGAUGACUCAGCUAGACAGGAUUUGUUUGUUUGUUUGAGUGAGGUGUUUUGCUGUUUGAGUUAUUUUUAAACUUUGAGGGCUAGAGAAGCUUUACAAAGGGAUUUGAAAGCAAAUCGUAGUGAAUAUUUGACUCAAACUAAGUGUGCACGUAUAAGUGUACUCAAAAACUGACAUGUACACACUUAUGUUUACUAUUUCUUCAGUACUGUUUGAUGUGAACAAAUGCUUAAAUUCAAACACAGAAUGAGAUGAAUGCUUGACGUUCAUAACACACAUCUUAAACUAACAGAACUUGUGAACAUAAAGAGGCCAAAUCAAUUAACAUGCUGCUUAUGGCAUUGCAGAAGAUUCCAUCUUGUUUUCUCAUUAGUACAUAUUUCUCUGCCCAAGAUCACAAGUCUUAAACAUACAGUCAUCCAAAGCAGAAUGCUUGCAUCUGUCAUUAGGUCUGUGAGAUAUGAAAUCUAUUAAAUCCAUGAGCCCUGACACUUUUCUUUCCUCUAAGAAUUCAGAAGUACAAUAAAAACUUCAGGUUUUUUAUAUUUUAUAAGAAU
Molecule: long non-coding RNA, 1545 nt
Filed under: Cyanistes caeruleus (blue tit)
Lineage: Eukaryota; Metazoa; Chordata; Aves; Passeriformes; Paridae
Description: lncRNA (ENSCCEG00000023370.1)
Source: RNAcentral